AAAAAAGUGUAACAAGGUUUCCGUAGGUGAACCUGCGGAAGGAUCAUUA
RNAcentral lists this ribosomal RNA (49 nucleotides) under Erysiphe diffusa. RNAcentral describes it as "partial 18S robosomal RNA". It matches the Rfam family "Eukaryotic small subunit ribosomal RNA", at positions 1782 to 1831 of the family's 1831-position model. The record is from RNAcentral. Lineage: Eukaryota; Fungi; Ascomycota; Leotiomycetes; Helotiales; Erysiphaceae.